GACGAACGCUGGCGGCGUGCUUAACACAUGCAAGUCGAACGGAAAGGCCCUGCUUUUGUGGGGUGCUCGAGUGGCGAACGGGUGAGUAACACGUGAGUAACCUGCCCUUGACUUUGGGAUAACUUCAGGAAACUGGGGCUAAUACCGGAUAGGAGCUCCUGCUGCAUGGUGGGGGUUGGAAAGUUUCGGCGGUUGGGGAUGGACUCGCGGCUUAUCAGCUUGUUGGUGGGGUAGUGGCUUACCAAGGCUUUGACGGGUAGCCGGCCUGAGAGGGUGACCGGCCACAUUGGGACUGAGAUGCGGCCGAGACUCCUACGGGAGGCAGCAGUGGAGAAUAUUGCACAAUGGGCGGAAGCCUGAUGCAGCAACGCCGCGUGCGGGAUGACGGCCUUCGGGUUGUAAACCGCUUGCGCCUGUGACGAAGCGUGAGUGGCGGUAAUGGGUAGAGGAGCACCGGCUAACUACG
This 466-nucleotide ribosomal RNA is filed under the name uncultured bacterium. RNAcentral describes it as "partial 16S ribosomal RNA". It matches the Rfam family "Bacterial small subunit ribosomal RNA", at positions 28 to 505 of the family's 1533-position model. The record is from RNAcentral.